UACCUGGUUGAUCCAGCCAGUAGUCAUAUGCUUGUCUCAAAGAUUAAGCCAUGCAUGUAUAAGUAUGAACAAAUUCAGACUGUGAAACU
This 89-nucleotide non-coding RNA is filed under the name Gossypium arboreum. RNAcentral describes it as "Eukaryotic small subunit ribosomal RNA". It matches the Rfam family "Eukaryotic small subunit ribosomal RNA", at positions 1 to 88 of the family's 1831-position model. Lineage: Eukaryota; Viridiplantae; Streptophyta; Magnoliopsida; Malvales; Malvaceae. The record is from Rfam by way of RNAcentral.